AGAGUUUGAUCCUGGCUCGAGGACGAACGCUGGCGGCGUGCCUAACACAUGCAAGUCGAACGGAACUAUUUUGACUGAUUCCUUCGGGAUGAAGAAUUUUAGUUUAGUGGCGGACGGGUGAGUAACGCGUGAGUAACCUGCCUCUGAGAGGGGAAUAACGUUCUGAAAAGAACGCUAAUACCGCAUAACACAUAUUUGCCGCAUGACAGAUAUGUCAAAGAUUUUAUCGCUCGGAGAUGGACUCGCGUCCGAUUAGUUAGUUGGUGAGGUAACGGCUCACCAAGACCGCGAUCGGUAGCCGGACUGAGAGGUUGAACGGCCACAUUGGGACUGAGACACGGCCCAGACUCCUACGGGAGGCAGCAGUGGGGGAUAUUGCGCAAUGGGGGCAACCCUGACGCAGCAACGCCGCGUGAAGGAUGAAGGUUUUCGGAUUGUAAACUUCUUUUAUCAGGGACGAACUCUGACGGUACCUGAUGAAUAAGCUCCGGCUAACUACGUGCCAGCAGCCGCGGUA
Molecule: ribosomal RNA, 517 nt
Filed under: uncultured bacterium
Lineage: Bacteria
Description: bacterial SSU rRNA
Rfam family: Bacterial small subunit ribosomal RNA
Source: RNAcentral